AUUGAACGCUGGCGGCAUGCUUUACACAUGCAAGUCGAACGGUAACAGGCCUUCGGGUGCUGACGAGUGGCGCACGGGUGAGUAAUGCAUCGGAACGUGCCCAGAGGUGGGGGAUAACGCAGCGAAAGCUGUGCUAAUACCGCAUGUGAUCUGAGGAUGAAAGCGGGGGACCAAGCAGCAAUGUUUGGCCUCGCGCCUCUGGAGCGGCCGAUGUCAGAUUAGGUAGUUGGUGGGGUAAAGGCCUACCAAGCCGACGAUCUGUAGCUGGUCUGAGAGGACGACCAGCCACACUGGGACUGAGACACGGCCCAGACUCCUACGGGAGGCAGCAGUGGGGAAUUUUGGACAGUGGGCGCAAGCCUGAUCCAGCAAUGCCGCGUGCGGGAAGAAGGCCUUCGGGUUGUAAACCGCUUUUGUACGGAACGAAAAGGCUCUGGCUAAUACCUGGGGCUGAUGACGGUACCGUAAGAAUAAGCACCGGCUAACUACGUG
This 492-nucleotide ribosomal RNA is filed under the name uncultured bacterium. RNAcentral describes it as "partial 16S ribosomal RNA". It matches the Rfam family "Bacterial small subunit ribosomal RNA", at positions 30 to 507 of the family's 1533-position model. The record is from RNAcentral.